Molecule: ribosomal RNA, 273 nt
Filed under: uncultured Pelagibacterium sp.
Lineage: Bacteria; Pseudomonadati; Pseudomonadota; Alphaproteobacteria; Hyphomicrobiales; Devosiaceae
Description: partial 16S ribosomal RNA
Rfam family: Bacterial small subunit ribosomal RNA
Source: RNAcentral
UACGAAGGGGGCUAGCGUUGUUCGGAAUUACUGGGCGUAAAGCGCACGUAGGCGGACUAUUAAGUCAGGGGUGAAAUCCCGGAGCUCAACUCCGGAACUGCCUUUGAUACUGGUAGUCUAGAGACCGAGAGAGGUAAGUGGAACUCCUAGUGUAGAGGUGGAAUUCGUAGAUAUUAGGAAGAACACCAGUGGCGAAGGCGGCUUACUGGCUCGGAACUGACGCUGAGGUGCGAAAGCGUGGGGAGCAAACAGGAUUAGAUACCCCCGUAGUCC